Molecule: unclassified non-coding RNA, 336 nt
Filed under: soil metagenome
Description: partial contains 5.8S ribosomal RNA, internal transcribed spacer 2, and large subunit ribosomal RNA
Rfam family: 5.8S ribosomal RNA (bases 1-120)
Source: RNAcentral
GAUGAAGAACGCAGCGAAAUGCGAUAAGUAAUGUGAAUUGCAGAAUUCAGUGAAUCAUCGAAUCUUUGAACGCACAUUGCGCCCGCCAGUAUUCUGGCGGGCAUGCCUGUUCGAGCGUCAUUUCAACCAUCAAGCCCCCGGCUUGUGUUGGGGACCUGCGGCUGCCGCAGGCCUUGAAAAGCAGUGGCGGGCUCGCUGUCACACCGAGCGUAGUAGCAUACAUCUCGCUCUGGGCGUGCUGCGGGUUCCGGCCGUUAAACCACCUUCAUAACCCAAGGUUGACCUCGGAUCAGGUAGGAAGACCCGCUGAACUUAAGCAUAUCAAUAAGCGGAGGA